UGAAGAGUAUUUCAAGGAUAGCAUAUUAGAAGGUGAAGAAUCGGAAGAACAAAACUGUUCUUCCGAGGAGGAUUAUGAUGUUGUGCUCAUCUAAAGACCAACAGCUAUGAAAUGAAAUUAUAAUUUUUUAAUAUUUUUAGACCAUGUAUCAUAUGCAGCAAUAAAUUUAAUCGUUCAAUGUAAAUAGAAACAUUUUUAAGACAACUUCAUUUUUACACUGUAAAUAUUCCCACACAAUAGAUAUGUCUGCAGAUGGCAAUAGGGCAAUGAAUGUAUUUGCUUGAUAAUACUGUUGACAUAGAAAAUGAAGAAACAUUCUCAUCAUAAACAAAA
Xenia sp. Carnegie-2017 is the source of this 333-nucleotide long non-coding RNA. RefSeq lists it as uncharacterized. The transcript is spliced from 2 exons. The record is from RefSeq and is a predicted model, not a curated record. Lineage: Eukaryota; Metazoa; Cnidaria; Anthozoa; Malacalcyonacea; Xeniidae.